AGCCGGGCCCGCCGAGGCCCGCGGCGACACAUCUUUCAAAUGUCUGUCCUAUCAGCUGGUUGGCUGUAGCGGUGACGGCCACGGGACUGACGGGUGACGGGGAAUCAGGGUUUGAUUCCGGAGAGGGAGCCUGAGAAACGGCUACCACUUCUAAGGAAGGCAGCAGGCGCGCAAAUUACCCACUCUCGAUACGAGGAGGUAGUGAAGAGAAGUAACGUGACGCCAACCCCACGAGGCUGCGUCGUGGAAUGAGACCAGCUCAAACCAUUGUCUGACGAGCUAGUAGAGGGCAAGUCUGGUGCCAGCAGCCGCGGUAAUUCCAGCUCUAUUAGCGUAUGUGGGAGUUGUUGCAGUUAAAACGCUCGUAGUUGGAAGUCGGCCCUGCGGCAAGAGGGUGUGCGCUGAGUGCUACAAGCCACUAACCCCAGCCGCUGGCUCGGGGGGCCACUAUGGCGGGCUCCGGUUAAGGGCGGCCCCCCCCACACGUUGGGGUAGAGAGGGCGACAGUCUGCCGGGGAUUUCUGCCGGCCCCCUGUGGCUACUUUGAGAAAAUUAGGGUGUUUCAGGCAGGCUGCGACAAACGGGCUUGAAUAGUCUAACAUGGAAUAGCACCCAACUGAACUCCGGGUUCAUCGUUCUGCGUGCUGGUCUUCUCGUGAACUCCGUGAGCCCCAUGGCUAAGAGGGACAGACGGGGGCGGAAGUACUACGGCGUGAGAGGUGAAAUUUGAGGACCGCCGUAGGACUACCGAAAGCGAAAGCAUCCGCCAAGAAUGUUUUCAUUAGUCAAGAACGAAAGUUGGUGUAGCGAAGAGGAUCAGAUACCCUCUUAGUACUGACCGUAAACCAUGCCGACAGGAGGCCGGUCGAAGUAACGUGUUUAUGUUGUAUUUAUAAUAGGCGCUGCCGGGACCCCGCGGGAAACCCAAGUGUUUGGGUUCUGGGGGUAGUAAUGGUUGCAAAGCUGAAACUUAAAGGUAUUGACGGAAGGGCACCACCAGGAGUGGAGCUUGCGGCUUAAUUUGACUCAACGCACGGAAACUCACCCGGGCCGGACAUCGUAAGGAUUGACAGUACGGAGCGCUUUCUAGAUUCGGUGGUUGGUGGUGCAUGGCCGUUCUUAGUACGUGGUACAGACUGUCAGGUUAAAUCCGCUAACGCACGUGACUCUAGCCUAUUUACUAGAGCAGGUGAUGACUAAUGUGUGUCGCCGGAGCGUAGAACUUCUUAGGGGGAUCCAUUGCGUGAGCGAAGCGGAUGAAAGUGAGCAAUAACAGGUCUGUGAUGCCCUUAGAUGUCUGGGGCCGCACGCGCGCUACACUGGAAAGGAAAGCGGGCAGCCGAGAAUGGCGCCGGGUGCGUGAGUCAACCUUUGCGAGAAAUCUUAGAACCCUUCUCGUGCUUGGGAUUAGGGUUUGAAACUGUUGCCUAUGAACGAGGAAUUCCAAGUAAGUGCAGGUGACUAGCUUGCGUUGAUCAAGUCCCUGCCUUUUGUACACACCGCCCGUCGCUACCACUGAGCUAGCGGCCUAGUAAGAGUGUCGAGACGCGCCCU
RNAcentral lists this ribosomal RNA (1554 nucleotides) under Trypanosyllis aeolis. Its description in RNAcentral is "bacterial SSU rRNA". It matches the Rfam family "Eukaryotic small subunit ribosomal RNA", at positions 260 to 1723 of the family's 1831-position model. Lineage: Eukaryota; Metazoa; Annelida; Polychaeta; Phyllodocida; Syllidae. The record is from RNAcentral.